This 494-nucleotide ribosomal RNA is filed under the name uncultured bacterium. RNAcentral describes it as "bacterial SSU rRNA". It matches the Rfam family "Bacterial small subunit ribosomal RNA", at positions 29 to 511 of the family's 1533-position model. The record is from RNAcentral.
AGUGAACGCUGGCGGCAGGCCUAAUACAUGCAAGUCGAACGGCAGCACAGCAGAGCUUGCUCUGUGGGUGGCGAGUGGCGGACGGGUGAGGAAUACAUGGGAAUCUGCCCAGUCGUGGGGGAUAACGUAGGGAAACUUACGCUAAUACCGCAUGCGCCCUUCGGGGGAAAGCCGGGGACCUUCGGGCCUGGCGCGAUUGGAUGAGCCCAUGUCGGAUUAGCUAGUUGGCGGGGUAAUGGCCCACCAAGGCGACGAUCCGUAGCUGGUCUGAGAGGAUGAUCAGCCACACUGGAACUGAGACACGGUCCAGACUCCUACGGGAGGCAGCAGUAGGGAAUAUUGGACAAUGGGCGCAAGCCUGAUCCAGCCAUGCCGCGUGAGUGAAGAAGGCCCUCGGGUUGUAAAGCUCUUUUGUCCGGAAAGAAAAGCGCCGGGUUAAUACCCUAGUGUCCUGACGGUACCGGAAGAAUAAGCACCGGCUAACUUCGUGCCAG